RNAcentral lists this small RNA (339 nucleotides) under endosymbiont of Bathymodiolus septemdierum str. Myojin knoll. Its description in RNAcentral is "cspA thermoregulator". It matches the Rfam family "cspA thermoregulator". The record is from Rfam by way of RNAcentral. Lineage: Bacteria; Pseudomonadati; Pseudomonadota; Gammaproteobacteria.
UACUGAUGCUUUGCAUCAACUCUGAGUUAUAAAAGUGGUCUCGUUUUUUUUCGGUAUUUUUUUUUAUAAUAAAGGAGACUAUUAUGUCUACAACAGGAAAGGUCAAAUGGUUUGACGCAAAAAAAGGUUUUGGUUUUAUUGAGCAAGAAAGUGGUGACGAUGUAUUCGUUCACUUCCGCGCUAUUGAGGGUGAUGGCUAUAAAUCACUAGAUGAAGGUCAGGAAGUUGUGUUCGAUUUAGAAGACGGUGCUAAAGGCCCUCAAGCUGUAAAUGUAAUUCCACAGUAAAUUUAUUUAUUUAGAAUUAAAAAAACCCAGUCUUAAUGACUGGGUUUUUUAU